UAUGCACAUUUAGCAUUAUUUUUUGCUAUUAGGAGCAACCCAACAAAAAGAAAAUUUUCUCUGAUUCAGAGACAAAAUACAAGGAGAAAAGAAGACAGAAAGAGAAGAAAAGAUGACUAGUUGGAAUGCGUUUCAGAAGAUUAAAGCAAGAAAGGCAGUCAGACCGUUUUCAUUAUUAUAUUUCAUAUGGAAUUCAUGGUUCUUCAAGUGUAUUUAUUCUGAGACCCAUAGAGAAGGACCAUCAGCUACCUGGGGAAGUUAUUCUCAUGGUGAUUAUUGAAGAACCAGAGGUCAAACCAUCCUUGCAUGUACAUUUCAAGCCUCUGCUUGCAUGUCUUGUGCUAAUAUUCUGUGGUAGUCAGAAUGACCCCCAAAGAUGUCCAUACCUUAAUUCCUGGAACCUGUGAGUAUGUCACAUUUAAUGACAAAUGAGACUUUACAGAUGUAAUUAAUAUUAUGUAUUUAAUAUUGUAAACCUUAAAAUAGGGGGGUGGUCAAGGAUUAUCUGAGUGGACUCAAUUUAAUCAUGUGUCCUUAAAAGCAGAGAACUUUUUCCAGCUUGAAUGAGAAAGAUGCAGCCAUAGGGAAGUCACAGAGACUUGAAGUGUGAAAGGAACAUAACCCACCAUCAUUGGAAGAGGCCACAUGGAAAGCAUGGAAAGAAAUGCAGAUAGCCUAUAGGAGCAAAGACUGAUUUCUUAGUGACAGCUAGCAAAAUGCAGGAGAUCUCAGCCCUAUUACAAAAAACUGAACUCAACCAGCAAUUUGAAAAAGUUUGGAAGUGAUUCAUUCCUUGAACCAGCAUAAAAGAUCCAGCCCUGCUGAUUUAGGCCUUGUGAGACUCUAAGUAGAGGACGCAGUAGAGACCACUGAACUUCUGACCUACAGAAACUAUGAGAUAAUAAAUGGAAAUUAUUUU
RNAcentral lists this long non-coding RNA (919 nucleotides) under Aotus nancymaae (Ma's night monkey). RNAcentral describes it as "lncRNA (ENSANAG00000039490.1)". The record is from RNAcentral. Lineage: Eukaryota; Metazoa; Chordata; Mammalia; Primates; Aotidae.